CUCCCUGAGAUUAGCGGCGGACGGGUGAGUAACACGUGGGCAACCUGCCUAUAAGACUGGGAUAACUUCGGGAAACCGGAGCUAAUACCGGAUACGUUCUUUUCUCGCAUGAGAGAAGAUGGAAAGACGGUUUACGCUGUCACUUAUAGAUGGGCCCGCGGCGCAUUAGCUAGUUGGUGAGGUAAUGGCUCACCAAGGCGACGAUGCGUAGCCGACCUGAGAGGGUGAUCGGCCACACUGGGACUGAGACACGGCCCAGACUCCUACGGGAGGCAGCAGUAGGGAAUCUUCCGCAAUGGACGAAAGUCUGACGGAGCAACGCCGCGUGAACGAAGAAGGCCUUCGGGUCGUAAAGUUCUGUUGUUAGGGAAGAACAAGUACCAGAGUAACUGCUGGUACCUUGACGGUACCUAACCAGAAAGCCACGGCUAACUACGUGCCAGCAGCCGCGGUAAUACGUAGGUGGCAAGCGUUGUCCGGAAUUAUUGGGCGUAAAGCGCGCGCAGGUGGUUCCUUAAGUCUGAUGUGAAAGCCCACGGCUCAACCGUGGAGGGUCAUUGGAAACUGGGGAACUUGAGUGCAGAAGAGGAAAGUGGAAUU
RNAcentral lists this ribosomal RNA (600 nucleotides) under Bacillus sp. MY-CB152. Its description in RNAcentral is "bacterial SSU rRNA". It matches the Rfam family "Bacterial small subunit ribosomal RNA", at positions 82 to 668 of the family's 1533-position model. Lineage: Bacteria; Bacillati; Bacillota; Bacilli; Caryophanales; Bacillaceae. The record is from RNAcentral.